AAUGAAGUGCCUGAGAAAAAGGGUCAUUUUGAUAGAAUGAAAAAUGCAAUCUAAUUGCCUUUAUUA
This 66-nucleotide transfer RNA is filed under the name Platycnemis foliacea. RNAcentral's name for it is "tRNA-Ile". Lineage: Eukaryota; Metazoa; Arthropoda; Insecta; Odonata; Platycnemididae. The record is from RNAcentral.